RNAcentral lists this ribosomal RNA (1440 nucleotides) under uncultured organism. RNAcentral's name for it is "16S ribosomal RNA". It matches the Rfam family "Bacterial small subunit ribosomal RNA". The record is from RNAcentral.
GAUGAACGCUAGCUACAGGCUUAACACAUGCAAGUCGAGGGGCAUCAGGAAGAAAGCUUGCUUUCUUUGCUGGCGACCGGCGCACGGGUGAGUAACACGUAUCCAACCUGCCCUUUACUCGGGGAUAGCCUUUCGAAAGAAAGAUUAAUACCCGAUAGCAUAAUGAUUCCGCAUGGUUUCAUUAUUAAAGGAUUCCGGUAAAGGAUGGGGAUGCGUUCCAUUAGGUUGUUGGUGAGGUAACGGCCCACCAAGCCUUCGAUGGAUAGGGGUUCUGAGAGGAAGGUCCCCCACAUUGGAACUGAGACACGGUCCAAACUCCUACGGGAGGCAGCAGUGAGGAAUAUUGGUCAAUGGGCGCUAGCCUGAACCAGCCAAGUAGCGUGAAGGAUGAAGGCUCUAUGGGUCAUAAACUUCUUUUAUAUAAGAAUAAAGUGCAGUAUGUAUACUGUUUUGUAUGUAUUAUAUGAAUAAGGAUCGGCUAACUCCGUGCCAGCAGCCGCGGUAAUACGGAGGAUCCGAGCGUUAUCCGGAUUUAUUGGGUUUAAAGGGAGCGUAGGUGGACUGGUAAGUCAGUUGUGAAAGUUUGCGGCUCAACCGUAAAAUUGCAGUUGAUACUGUCAGUCUUGAGUACAGUAGAGGUGGGCGGAAUUCGUGGUGUAGCGGUGAAAUGCUUAGAUAUCACGAAGAACUCCGAUUGCGAAGGCAGCUCACUGGACUGCAACUGACACUGAUGCUCGAAAGUGUGGGUAUCAAACAGGAUUAGAUACCCUGGUAGUCCACACAGUAAACGAUGAAUACUCGCUGUUUGCGAUAUACAGUAAGCGGCCAAGCGAAAGCAUUAAGUAUUCCACCUGGGGAGUACGCCGGCAACGGUGAAACUCAAAGGAAUUGACGGGGGCCCGCACAAGCGGAGGAACAUGUGGUUUAAUUCGAUGAUACGCGAGGAACCUUACCCGGGCUUAAAUUGCAGUGGAAUGAUGUGGAAACAUGUCAGUGAGCAAUCACCGCUGUGAAGGUGCUGCAUGGUUGUCGUCAGCUCGUGCCGUGAGGUGUCGGCUUAAGUGCCAUAACGAGCGCAACCCUUAUCUUUAGUUACUAACAGGUUAUGCUGAGGACUCUAGAGAGACUGCCGUCGUAAGAUGUGAGGAAGGUGGGGAUGACGUCAAAUCAGCACGGCCCUUACGUCCGGGGCUACACACGUGUUACAAUGGGGGGUACAGAAGGCAGCUAGCGGGUGACCGUAUGCUAAUCCCAAAAUCCUCUCUCAGUUCGGAUCGAAGUCUGCAACCCGACUUCGUGAAGCUGGAUUCGCUAGUAAUCGCGCAUCAGCCACGGCGCGGUGAAUACGUUCCCGGGCCUUGUACACACCGCCCGUCAAGCCAUGGGAGCCGGGGGUACCUGAAGUACGUAACCGCAAGGAUCGUCCUAGGGUAAAACUGG